UCGGAAUUACUGGGCGUAAAGCGUGCGCUGGCGGCUUCACAAGUUAGAUGUGAAAGCCCCGGGCUUAACCUGGGAACUGCGUUUGAAACUGGGAGGCUAGAGUGCGGCAGAGGGGGGUGGAAUUCCACGUGUAGCAGUGAAAUGCGUAGAUAUGUGGAGGAACACCGAUGGCGAAGGCAGCCCCCUGGGCCUGCACUGACGCUCAUGCACGAAAGCGUGGGGAGCAAACAG
RNAcentral lists this ribosomal RNA (231 nucleotides) under uncultured bacterium. RNAcentral's name for it is "partial 16S ribosomal RNA". It matches the Rfam family "Bacterial small subunit ribosomal RNA", at positions 545 to 775 of the family's 1533-position model. The record is from RNAcentral.